Molecule: long non-coding RNA, 1129 nt
Filed under: Salmo salar (Atlantic salmon)
Lineage: Eukaryota; Metazoa; Chordata; Actinopteri; Salmoniformes; Salmonidae
Description: lncRNA (ENSSSAG00000104664.1)
Source: RNAcentral
CCCUAGCAACCCCCUAGCCACCUCCUAGCCACAACACAACCCCCUAGCAACCCCCUAGCGACAACACAACCCCCUAGCAACCCCUAGCGACAGCACAACCCCAUAGCAACCCCUAGCCGACAGCCCCAUAGCAACUCCCUAGCGACAGCCCCAUAGCAACUCCCUAGCGACAGCGCAACCCCGUAGCAACCCCCUAGCGACAGCGCAACCCCCUAGCGACAGCGCAACCCCAUAGCAACCCCCUAGCGACAGCGCAACCCCCUAGCGACAGCGCAACCCCAUAGCGACAGCGCAACCCCGUAGCAACCCCCUAGCGAUAGCGCAACCCCAUAGUGGCAAAGCAAAAACAGGUUUUUAGACAUUUUUAAAACUGUAUUCAGACCCUUUACUCAGUACUUUGUUGAAGCACCUUUGGCAGCGAUUACAGACUCGAGUCUUCUUGGGUAUGACGCUACAAGCUUGGCACACCUGUAUUUGGGGAGUUUCUCCCAUUCCUCUCUGCUGAUCCUCUCAAGCUCUGUCAGGUUGGAUGGGGAGCGUCGCUGCACAGCUAUUUUCAGGUCUCUCCAGAGAUGUUCGAUCAGGUUCAAGUCCGGGCUCUGGCUGGGCUACUCAAGGACACUCAGAGACUUGUCCCGAGGCCACUCCUGCUUUGUCUUGGCUGGGUGCUUAGGGUCGUUGUCUUGUUGGAAGGUGAACCUUCACCCCAGUCUGAGGUCCUGAGUUCUCUGGAGCAGGUUUUCAUCAAGGAUCUCUCUGUACUUUACUCCGUUCAUCUUUGCCUCGAUCCUGACUAGUCUCCCAGUCCCUGCUGCUGAAAAACAUCCCCACAGCAUGAUGCUGCCACCACCAUGCUUCACCGUAGGGAUGGUGCCUUGUUUCCUCCAGACGUGACGCUUGGCAUUCAGGCCAAAGAGUUCAAUCUUGGUUACGUCAGACCAGAGAAUCUUUUUUCUCAUGGUCUGAGAGUCCUUUAGGUGCCUUUUGGCAAACUCCCAGCGGGCUGUCAUGUGCCUUUUACUGAAGAAUGGCUUCCGUCUGGCCACUCUACCAUAAAGGCCUGAUUGGUGGAGUGCUGCAGAGAUGGUUGUCCUUCUGGAAGGUUCUCCCAUCUCCAUAGAGGAACUCU